This 98-nucleotide ribosomal RNA is filed under the name Acinetobacter baumannii. Its description in RNAcentral is "partial 16S ribosomal RNA". It matches the Rfam family "Bacterial small subunit ribosomal RNA", at positions 1441 to 1533 of the family's 1533-position model. Lineage: Bacteria; Pseudomonadati; Pseudomonadota; Gammaproteobacteria; Moraxellales; Moraxellaceae. The record is from RNAcentral.
GCAAAGAGGUCGGUUACCACGGUGUGGCCGAUGACUGGGGUGAAGUCGUAACAAGGUAGCCGUAGGGGAACCUGCGGCUGGAUCACCUCCUUAACGAA